Molecule: long non-coding RNA, 748 nt
Filed under: Linum usitatissimum (flax)
Lineage: Eukaryota; Viridiplantae; Streptophyta; Magnoliopsida; Malpighiales; Linaceae
Description: long non-coding RNA (LUSI_LNC005310)
Source: RNAcentral
GCAGACAUUAUAAAAUCGUAGUAUUGCAAUAGAAAUAUGCUAUUAAGCCAGUAAUUAGAGUACAGAAUGCCAGCUUCACAUGCAGGAACACAAGGUUGUUAACUUUACCAAAGUUAACAAGAGGCAUAAGCUUAGGUGCAAGCGGCGGAUCUCCUUAAGAGGCAUACCAAACGACCGUAUUCAUCCGUCUGAAAAGGCAUCUAUCCAUCAUAGCCGGAAGAGUGGCCAAUCAAAAACAUUCUUCUCUUUGUUUCGUUUGGUCAAAUUCUGCAUCAACAUACUUUGCUGUCUUCAUAUAUAUAUAGCAGACUCACCACAAUCUUUCUUCAUCCUCAACUCACCAAUCAUCAAUCAUCCUCUUUUUUCUUCCCUCUUUUAAUAUCUCUAUACCAUCCCCACCCAACAUCAAGAGAGACAAACCAAGUUUCAUUAGCAGCAGCAGCAGCCUUGUGUUGGAGACUCUGGUGCUGGAAAGAUGGGAAUCCAGUCACUUGAUGCUGUUAUGAAAGAAACAGUUGAUCUGGUAAUAACUUAAUGAUGUAGCAAAUGGUAUAGUUAAUGUAUGUCGAGAAUGCUAGGUACCUUAUGUUUUCUGUUUUUAUCCUAAAUGAACAGGAGAAUGCACCCAUGGAAGAAGUGUUUGAGCAUCUCAAGUGUACAAGAGAUGGUUUGAGCUCUGAUGAUAUUCAACAAAGAUUGGAGCUUUUCGGACACAACAAGCUUGAAGAGAAGAAGGAAAGUAAAUUAC